AGCAGCCGCGGUAAUUCCAGCUCCAAUAGCGUAUAUUAAAGUUGUUGCAGUUAAAAAGCUCGUAGUUGAAUUUCGGGGUCAGUAGGUCGGUCGUGCCACUGGUAUGAACUGGUUUUACUGAUUCCUCCCUCUUGAAGAACUGUAAUGCCAUUAAUUUGGUGUUGCAGGGAAUCAGGACUGUUACUUUGAAAAAAUUAGAGUGUUUAAAGCAGGCUUUAGCUUGAAUACAUUAGCAUGGAAUAAUGAAAUAGGACGUUUGAUCCUAUUUUGUUGGUUUCUAGGAUUGACGUAAUGAUUAAUAGGGAUAGUUGGGGGCAUUAGUAUUCAAUUGUCAGAGGUGAAAUUCUUGGAUUUAUUGAAGACUAACUACUGCGAAAGCAUUUGCCAAGGAUGUUUUCAUUAAUCAAGAACGAAAGUUAGGGGAUCGAAGACGAUCAGAUACCGUCGUAGUCUUAACCAUAAACUAUGCCGACUAGGGAUCGGAUGAUGUUAAUUUUUUUAAUGACUCAUUCGGCGCCUU
RNAcentral lists this small RNA (520 nucleotides) under uncultured Glomus. RNAcentral's name for it is "SSU rRNA". It matches the Rfam family "Eukaryotic small subunit ribosomal RNA", at positions 569 to 1089 of the family's 1831-position model. The record is from RNAcentral. Lineage: Eukaryota; Fungi; Glomeromycota; Glomeromycetes; Glomerales; Glomeraceae.